UUUGCGUCGAAGGUAUACCGGUAAGGAGUGCUGGAGCGAAUAGAAGUGAGCAUGCAGGCAUGAGUAGCGAUAAUUAAUGUGAGAAUCAUUAACGCCGUAAACCCAAGGUUUCCUACGCGAUGCUCGUCAUCGUAGGGUUAGUCGGGUCCUAAGUCGAGUCCGAAAGGGGUAGACGAUGGCAAAUUGGUUAAUAUUCCAAUACCAACAUUAGUGUGCGAUGGAAGGACGCUUAGGGCUAAGGGGGCUAGCGGAUGGAAGUGCUAGUCUAAGGUCGUAGGAGGUUAUACAGGCAAAUCCGUAUAACAAUACUCCGAGAACUGAAAGGCUUUUUGAAGUCUUCGGAUGGAUAGAAGAACCCCUGAUGCCGUCGAGCCAAGAAAAGUUUCUAAGUUUAGCUAAUGUUGCCCGUACCGUAAACCGACACAGGUGGGUGGGAUGAGUAUUCUAAGGCGCGUGGAAGAACUCUCUUUAAGGAACUCUGCAAAAUAGCACCGUAUCUUCGGUAUAAGGUGUGGUUAGCUUUGUAUUAGGAUUUACUCCGAAAGCAAGGAAACUUACAACAAAGAGUCCCUCCCGACUGUUUACCAAAAACACAGCACUCUGCUAACUCGUAAGAGGAUGUAUAGGGUGUGACGCCUGCCCGGUGCUCGAAGGUUAAUUAAUGGGGUUAGCAUUAGCGAAGCUCUUGAUCGAAGCCCGAGUAAACGGCGGCCGUAACUAUAACGGUCCUAAGGUAGCGAAAUUCCUUGUCGGUUAAAUACCGACCUGCAUGAAUGGCGUAACGAGAUGGGAGCUGUCUCAAAGAGGGAUCCAGUGAAAUUGUAGUGGAGGUGAAAAUUCCUCCUACCCGCGGCAAGACGGAAAGACCCCGUGGACCUUUACUACAGCUUGACACUGCUACUUGGAUAAGAAUGUGCAGGAUAGGUGGGAGGCUUUGAGUAUAUGACGCCAGUUGUAUAUGAGCCAUUGUUGAGAUACCACUCUUUCUUAUUUGGGUAGCUAACCAGCUUGAGUUAUCCUCAAGUGGGACAAUGUCUGGUGGGUAGUUUGACUGGGGCGGUCGCCUCCCAAAUAAUAACGGAGGCUUACAAAGGUUGGCUCAGAACGGUUGGAAAUCGUUCGUAGAGUAUAAAGGUAUAAGCCAGCUUAACUGCAAGACAUACAAGUCAAGCAGAGACGAAAGUCGGUCUUAGUGAUCCGGUGGUUCUGUGUGGAAGGGCCAUCGCUCAAAGGAUAAAAGGUACCCCGGGGAUAACAGGCUGAUCUCCCCCAAGAGCUCACAUCGACGGGGAGGUUUGGCACCUCGAUGUCGGCUCAUCGCAUCCUGGGGCUGGAGCAGGUCCCAAGGGUAUGGCUGUUCGCCAUUUAAAGCGGUACGCGAGCUGGGUUCAGAACGUCGUGAGACAGUUCGGUCCCUAUCUGCCGUGGGCGUAAGAAGAUUGAAGAGAUUUGACCCUAGUACGAGAGGACCGGGUUGAACAAACCACUGGUGUAGCUGUUGUUCUGCCAAGAGCAUCGCAGCGUAGCUAAGUUUGGAAAGGAUAAACGCUGAAAGCAUCUAAGCGUGAAGCCAACUCUAAGAUGAAUCUUCUCUAAGCUCUCUAGAAGACUACUAGUUUGAUAGGCUGGGUGUGUAAUGGAUGAAAGUCCUUUAGCUGACCAGUACUAAUAGAGCGUUUGGCUUAUCUUUAAUAAAGCAU
Molecule: ribosomal RNA, 1700 nt
Filed under: Campylobacter jejuni
Lineage: Bacteria; Pseudomonadati; Campylobacterota; Epsilonproteobacteria; Campylobacterales; Campylobacteraceae
Description: partial 23S ribosomal RNA
Rfam family: Bacterial large subunit ribosomal RNA
Source: RNAcentral